UCCUCCAAGGCUAAAUACUCCUGACUGACCGAUAGUGAACCAGUACCGUGAGGGAAAGGCGAAAAGAACCCCGGCGAGGGGAGUGAAAAAGAACCUGAAACCGUGUACGUACAAGCAGUGGGAGCACCCUUUGGGGUGUGACUGCGUACCUUUUGUAUAAUGGGUCAGCGACUUAUAUUCUGUAGCAAGGUUAACCGUAUAGGGGAGCCGGAGGGAAACCGAGUCUUAACCGGGCGUUAAGUUGCAGGGUAUAGACCCGAAACCCGGUGAUCUAGCCAUGGGCAGGUUGAAGGUUGGGUAACACUAACUGGAGGACCGAACCGACUAAUGUUGAAAAAUUAGCGGAUGACCUGUGGCU
Molecule: ribosomal RNA, 358 nt
Filed under: Salmonella enterica subsp. enterica
Lineage: Bacteria; Pseudomonadati; Pseudomonadota; Gammaproteobacteria; Enterobacterales; Enterobacteriaceae
Also listed under: 1 other name
Description: partial 23S ribosomal RNA
Rfam family: Bacterial large subunit ribosomal RNA
Source: RNAcentral